RNAcentral lists this ribosomal RNA (484 nucleotides) under uncultured bacterium. Its description in RNAcentral is "partial 16S ribosomal RNA". It matches the Rfam family "Bacterial small subunit ribosomal RNA", at positions 28 to 507 of the family's 1533-position model. The record is from RNAcentral.
GAUUAACGCUAGCGGCAGGCAUAAUACAUGCAAGUUGAACGGCAGCACAGGUAGCAAUACUGGGUGGCGAGUGGCGCACGGGUGCGUAACACGUAUGCAACCUACCCUAUACAGGCGAAUAACCUUUAGAAAUGAGGGCUAAUACGCCGUAGUAUUACAGAUGGGCAUCUAUUUGUAAUUAAAGAUUUAUCGGUAUAGGAUGGGCAUGCGUCCCAUUAGUUAGUUGGUAAGGUAACGGCUUACCAAGACGAUGAUGGGUAGGGGAUCUGAGAGGACUUACCCCCACACUGGUACUGAGACACGGACCAGACUCCUACGGGAGGCAGCAGUAAGGAAUAUUGGGCAAUGGCCGCGAGGCUGACCCAGCCAUGCCGCGUGCAGGAAGACGGCCUUAUGGGUUGUAAACUGCUUUUAUACGGAAAUAAUAGAGUGUACGCGUACAUUUAUGCAAGUAUCGUAUGAAUAAGCAUCGGCUAACUCCGUG